RNAcentral lists this long non-coding RNA (587 nucleotides) under Chinchilla lanigera (long-tailed chinchilla). RNAcentral describes it as "lncRNA (ENSCLAG00000023871.1)". The record is from RNAcentral. Lineage: Eukaryota; Metazoa; Chordata; Mammalia; Rodentia; Chinchillidae.
UUUAGGUAGGUAUCUGGUUCAGAAGGUUACUGAAACUCAGGUUUGUUUGUUUUCUGUAAGGAGAGGAGGGCCAGAGAGGAGAGAGGCAUAAAGCCUUAGAUGAAGAAGGAACUCGAAAGACAACAGCAGCUGCUGACAUAAGGAUCUAAAGGUCCUGUCCAACUGGAGCAUAACCGUCUUGUUUGUAUUAAACAGAAAAAGGGAGGAAAGAAAAUGAAUCCUAGACGAUCAUCAAAACCCCUAGCCAAUUGAAAUAUCUAUGCCCAUGCAAUUGAGGUUUUUACUUGUGGUUUGGAAUUGACAGCAUCAUUUAAAAGUAAUCAACGUUUAGAAACAUUCUGCUCUGCCAAAGAUGGAAGGAACACUGAACUUCAUGGAAGAAAACAUUCCUCAGCCCUCAAACAAUCCUUGCAUAUCUUCAGAACUGAGACGGAUGGACAAUGCAACCACUGUGAGCUGCUGACAGUUUUCCUGAGGUGAUCUUCCCCUAGCCCUCUUGACAUUAAAAGCAACUAAACUGCCGCUUUUCUCCUGGCCAGUGCAUUCCUCUCUUGGAACUUCCCUGCUGCUUACGUGCAGUAUCAGUG